UCAAACUCUGCAGUAACGGAGGCUCUGCAACUUCUCCAGGCCAUCUGUUCCUCUGUUCAACCACCCUUGGAGUGCGACAUUGCUCCUCGUCUUGAACCUGGAUCUCUCCAGAAGAGAUUUAGCACUUUAGUACUUGCUCCCUCCCCAGAGGAUGUGAAGGCAGUAGCUUUUUUUUUUUUUUCCUCGCUCUUUCUGGCAGCCCUUUAGGUAGUAGAAGGCUGUUAGCAUGUCUCUUUUCAGCCUUUUCUUCCCUGUGCUAAAAAGUCCCUUUGAUCUCUCCUGGCAGGUUGUGUUUGCCAGACCGUGGUGGUUCUUGCUGCUGUUUCCCGACCUCUGUCUUCAGCCUCGCUGCGUCUUCCCGUGGGCUCUCGCUUGGCCGAGUACAGCGAGCAGGUCCCUGCCCGGGCCCGGCAGGCCGCGUGCCCCUCUGAAGACCCUCGCCCGCCUCCUCCAGGGGUGGAAAAGAGCCUGAUGGUUUGCAGAUUCAUCACAUUUUUUUGCCCACUGAGCAGCAUUUCAGUUUUGGUUCCCCGAGCAAUUUGGAGCAGAUCUUCUGCAGAGAGCCCUCCUUUCAGGGUUACAAGCAAAGGUUGGGGGAAUCCACAGAGCGUAUCUGAGGCUCCUUUGAACAGUCACCAGCAGAUGAAGUACCCCGAGGCCUCAGCCACACCACGGUUUGUGGAGACAGCUGCUGCUGAGGGCACAGUCCCUUCGUCUCACCCUCUGUGCACUUUGACAUGCAGCAGUGGCCCAGGUCAUCGCCAGCUCUGAAGGAAAAUUGCAAGCUGAGAAAAAGUUUUGUGCAAAAGCCUCCAAAAGUCAGCAGCGCCCUGCAAGCAAGAACCUUGUAAGACCACCAUAGCAUCCCAAGAAAGGGGCCAAAUAUAACCCUGGAUAACCCAGUUUCUAUGAGAGUUGGCUACCAGUUCUGCCACUGAGCAGUUAAUACACAUUUCCUUACCCAUUAUUGUCUCCUGUGCUCUUUGAUGUGAAGGCAUGUGUAUAUACAUGAAUAAAAGGAACAGCGUGCAGAAUAUAAUGGGUGGC
Molecule: long non-coding RNA, 1047 nt
Filed under: Apteryx rowi (Okarito brown kiwi)
Lineage: Eukaryota; Metazoa; Chordata; Aves; Apterygiformes; Apterygidae
Description: lncRNA (ENSARWG00000006024.1)
Source: RNAcentral